GUUUCCUUUCUGUCUCCAAACAGCAGUGAAACCCUACUGCUGCUGUGUUAAGCAUCCCAAGAAUGCCCACCACCUUCCCACGGGUACCAGCAUCAGAGGUAUUUGGCCCACAGACACCUUCCAGCAGCCAGACCCUCAGACACCUCUGAAGAACCAGGUUACUGUUGUUAGAUGUGCAAGGCUGACUCUCAGCAAAUACAAUCCUUUCAAUUCAAAGAGCUACAUGGACUUGAACCAGCCUCUUGCUGGUCCCACAGGAGCCCCCCCAACUGCAGACAGAGAAGGAGAAGUCAUCAGAGCUGCCCUGACCAAGCACACAAGGAAGCACCGCAGUCAUGAUGAACUGGCAAGUUUACAGUGAGUUUGGGGAAAGGAAGCAUUUCACCAGAGCUCUGAAAGUGCUCCCUGAAUAAAGAGCAUCUGAAGUGAACUGAUAAGGCCAGGUGCUCAACUGGAGGCAUGACAGACCUGAAGAAGCCUUAGUGUGGUGAGACCUCAGGUUUCUUAAGUUGGAAAGGGCAACCCAGAGAUAAAAAGCUGUUUGACUAACUGCAACAUAUGGACAGCAAAUGCAGUAACUAUCAACAGAAUGAAAAGAAGAUACUUUAUUUAGUGAGGAACAUUUUCAAGAAAAUAAAAGUACAUCUUAUUUUAAAGUACUUUUCUCAAAGACAGGUAAGCUCAGUUUUACUGUAUAGCACAGGUACACAUUCUAGAGCAUCUUUCAGCUCAUCUGUUUGUAUUUACUGUAAGUGAAUUUACACUAUUUACUGUAAGUGAUCUAUGGCAUGCCAGAAUCCAGGAAACUAUAAAAUCUGUGGAUAAACCUUUACUUUGCAUCUGUCCAGAAUUUCUGAAGAUGAAUCUUUAAGACAGCUUUGGAGGAUAAGGUAAAAUACUACUUGCUGCACAGAAUUCAGUGUUCAAGAAUUAAGCUCUAACUUGUAGUUACGUAGGUUACUAGUUACCACUGCAGGCCCUACCAGCUGAAACUCUCAGUGUGCUAAAGGAUGCCAAACCCACUUGGGCAAGCGUGGACACCAGCAGGUUUCUGACACUGCACUGGGCUUGUGUGACAAUGUUGUGAUAGUGGAGGGGUUACAGGCAUGGCUUCUGUGAGAAACUGCCAGAAGUUUCCCUCAUGUCCAAUAGAGUCAAUGCCAGUCAGCAUCAAGAUGCACCUGCCACUGGCCAAGGUCAAUCCCACCAGCAGCUGUGACAGUGCCUCUGGAAUAACAGUUAAGAAGGGUGGGGUGAAAAAAGCUGUGCAGCAGCAAUUGCAGGUGGAGGGAGGACUAAGAAAGAAUAUGUGAAAGGAACAUCUCUGCAGACACCAAGAUCAGUAGAGAAGGAAGGGCAGGAGGUUCUGCAGGCACCAGAGCUGAAAUUCCCGGGUAGUCCAUGGUGAGGCAGCUGUGCCCCUGUAGCCCAUGGGGGUCCAUAGGGAUGCAGAGAUCCACCUGCAGAGUGUGAAGGACACCACACUGGAGCAAGUGGAUGCCUGAAGGAGGCUGUAUCCCUGUGGAAAGCCCUCACUGGAACAAGCUCCUGGCAGUGACCUGUGGACCCUUGGGAAGAGGAGCCCAUGCUAGAGCAAGUUGGCUGGUAGGACUUGUGAUGCUAUAGGGGGCUCACUCUGGAGCAGGCUGUGCCUGAAGGACUGCACCCCAUGGGAAGGGACUCUUGCUGGUGCAGUGCAGGAAUCCACACUGGUGCAGUUUGUGAAGAACUGUAGCUCGUGGGAAGGCCCCGUGUUGGUGAACCUCAUGGAGGGCUGUGUUCCAUGGCAGGGACCCCACAUUGGAGUAGGGGAAGAGUGUGGAGAGUCCUUUCUCUGAGGAGGAAGGAUCAGCAGAUGCAAUGUGUAAUGAACUGACCAUGACCCACAUUACCCUUCCACCAGCACUGCUCUGAAGAGCAGUUACAGAACUUGGGAGUAAAGUUAAGCCUGAGAAGAAGGAAAGGCUGGGGGGAAAGGUGUUUUAAAAUUUAGGGGUUUUUUAUCAUUAUCUUAC
Long non-coding RNA from Passer domesticus (house sparrow), 2015 nucleotides. RefSeq lists it as uncharacterized. The transcript is spliced from 3 exons. NCBI's taxonomy places the organism in Eukaryota, Metazoa, Chordata, Aves, Passeriformes, Passeridae. The record is from RefSeq and is a predicted model, not a curated record.